UGAGGAAUAUUGGACAAUGGGUGAAAGCCUGAUCCAGCCAUCCCGCGUGAAGGAUUAAGGUCCUAUGGAUUGUAAACUUCUUUUAUACAGGGAUAAACCUCUCCUCGUGAGGAGAGCUGAAGGUACUGUAUGAAUAAGCACCGGCUAACUCCGUGCCAGCAGCCGCGGUAAUACGGAGGGUGCAAGCGUUAUCCGGAUUUAUUGGGUUUAAAGGGUCCGUAGGCGGACCGGUAAGUCAGUGGUGAAAUCCUACAGCUCAACUGUAGAACUGCCAUUGAUACUGUCGGUCUUGAGUGUAGUUGAGGUAGCUGGAAUGAGUAGUGUAGCGGUGAAAUGCAUAGAUAUUACUCGGAACACCAAUUGCGAAGGCAGGUUACCAAGUUACAACUGACGCUGAUGGACGAAAGCGUGGGGAGCGAACAGG
This 424-nucleotide ribosomal RNA is filed under the name uncultured bacterium. RNAcentral describes it as "bacterial SSU rRNA". It matches the Rfam family "Bacterial small subunit ribosomal RNA", at positions 355 to 776 of the family's 1533-position model. The record is from RNAcentral.